RNAcentral lists this ribosomal RNA (274 nucleotides) under uncultured bacterium. RNAcentral's name for it is "partial 16S ribosomal RNA". It matches the Rfam family "Bacterial small subunit ribosomal RNA", at positions 523 to 796 of the family's 1533-position model. The record is from RNAcentral.
CUACGAAAGGUGCAAGCGUUGUUCGGAUUUACUGGGCGUAAAGAGAGUGUAGGUUGUUUAUUAAGUCGGAUGUGAAAUCCCGGGGCUCAACCUCGGAACUGCAUUCGAUACUGAUAGGCUAGAGUUUGGGAGGGGUAAGCGGAAUUCCGUGCGUAGCAGUGAAAUGCGUAGAUAUACGGAGGAACACCUGAGGCGAAGGCGGCUUACUGGACCAAUACUGACACUGAGACUCGAAAGCGUGGGUAGCAAACAGGAUUAGAAACCCCAGUAGUCC